Molecule: small nuclear RNA, 27 nt
Filed under: Mnemiopsis leidyi (sea walnut)
Lineage: Eukaryota; Metazoa; Ctenophora; Tentaculata; Lobata; Bolinopsidae
Description: partial spliced leader precursor
Source: RNAcentral
CAACUACUAUUAAUUAAAUAAUUUGAG